Molecule: transfer RNA, 73 nt
Filed under: Trichonephila inaurata madagascariensis
Lineage: Eukaryota; Metazoa; Arthropoda; Arachnida; Araneae; Nephilidae
Rfam family: tRNA
About the family: Transfer RNA (tRNA) molecules are approximately 80 nucleotides in length. Their secondary structure includes four short double-helical elements and three loops (D, anti-codon, and T loops). Further hydrogen bonds mediate the characteristic L-shaped molecular structure. tRNAs have two regions of fundamental functional importance: the anti-codon, which is responsible for specific mRNA codon recognition, and the 3' end, to which the tRNAs corresponding amino acid is attached (by aminoacyl-tRNA synthetases). tRNAs cope with the degeneracy of the genetic code in two manners: having more than one tRNA (with a specific anti-codon) for a particular amino acid; and 'wobble' base-pairing, i.e. permitting non-standard base-pairing at the 3rd anti-codon position.
Source: Rfam by way of RNAcentral
GUCCCUGUAGCGCAAUGGAGAGCGCGUUUGACUUCUGAUCCGAAGGUCGUGGGUUCGAAUCCCACCUGGUAUG